AGCUUCAUGCAGUGGCAGUAUCACAGCCAAUGAGGUUUAUCUGAGGUGCGAUUACUGCUAACUGAAAACUUUUCCAAUAUGAUGUACAAGUGCAAUGACAAAUAUUUUCUUUAGUACAAAAAUCAAUACAGUAAUUGU
Non-coding RNA from Canis lupus familiaris (dog), 138 nucleotides. The record is from Rfam. NCBI's taxonomy places the organism in Eukaryota, Metazoa, Chordata, Mammalia, Carnivora, Canidae.